GGGUCAGUAGGCUGGUCGUGCCACCGGUACGUACUGGUCUCACUGAUUCCUCCUUCCUGAAGAACCGUAAUGCCCUUAAUUUGGUGUUGCGGGGAAACAGGACUGUUACUUUUAAAAAAUUAGAGUGUUUAAGGCAAGCUAACGCUUGAAUACAUUAGCAUGGAAUAAUGAAAUAGGACGAUCGAUCCUAUUUUGUUGGUUUCUAGGAUUGACGUA
This 216-nucleotide ribosomal RNA is filed under the name Glomeromycotina sp. RNAcentral's name for it is "partial small subunit ribosomal RNA". The stretch from base 40 to 216 matches the Rfam family "Eukaryotic small subunit ribosomal RNA", at positions 686 to 864 of the family's 1831-position model. Lineage: Eukaryota; Fungi; Glomeromycota. The record is from RNAcentral.